RNAcentral lists this ribosomal RNA (378 nucleotides) under uncultured eukaryote. RNAcentral describes it as "partial 18S ribosomal RNA". It matches the Rfam family "Eukaryotic small subunit ribosomal RNA", at positions 592 to 976 of the family's 1831-position model. The record is from RNAcentral.
CAAUAGCGUAUAUUAAAGUUGUUGCAGUUAAAAAGCUCGUAGUUGGAUUUCGGGAUGGUCCGGCUGGUCCGCCGCAAGGCGUGUUACUGACCGGGCUGUCCUUCUUUGCAAAGGCUGCAUGUGCUCUUAACUGAGUGUGUGUAGGAUUUGUGACGUUUACUUUGAAAAAAUUAGAGUGUUCAAAGCAGGCCAGCGCUUGAAUACAUAAGCAUGGAAUAAUGGAAUAGGACUUUGGUUCUAUUUUGUUGGUUUCUGGAACCGAAGUAAUGAUUAAGAGGGACAGUUGGGGGCAUUUGUAUUUCGUCGCUAGAGGUGAAAUUCUUAGAUUGACGAAAGACAAACUGCUGCGAAAGCGUCUGCCAAGGAUGUAUUCAUUGA